Molecule: ribosomal RNA, 250 nt
Filed under: uncultured bacterium
Lineage: Bacteria
Description: partial 16S ribosomal RNA
Rfam family: Bacterial small subunit ribosomal RNA
Source: RNAcentral
UGGGGAAUAUUGGACAAUGGGCGCAAGCCUGAUCCAGCCAUGCCGCGUGAGUGAUGAAGGCCUUAGGGUUGUAAAGCUCUUUCGCCAGGGACGAUAAUGACGGUACCUGGAUAAGAAGCCCCGGCUAACUUCGUGCCAGCAGCCGCGGUAAUACGAAGGGGGCUAGCGUUGUUCGGAAUCACUGGGCGUAAAGCGUAUGCAGGCGGAUCGUUAAGUCGGGGUGAAAUCCCGAGGCUCAACCUCGGAACUG